UAUACAAAACUAGAAGGUAAAAGAUGCCAUAAAAAGAAAAGAAAAUCUCCUUUUAAUCCACUCCUGAAUGAGUGAUCCUGACUAGAUGGUCCUGGAGCUCUGUCAUGCUCAAACUCCGGUAAGUAGAUCCACACCUGUAUGAGAAAACUUCAAAUCAACACUAUAUGAGACAAUAACAUUCCCUACUGAACACAUGCAAGACAGUUGUGUCUAUUUUUCUAAAAUUAACCCAUGUGGCUAAAAGUAGCUAAAAAUGCAAGAUUUGGCUAAGAUCCCGCGAAGCUAAGAACCUAAGACUUAUUAGGAAGAUUGGACCCUAUGUGGGCUGCCUACGUAUCACACCCCGAAAGACGAGAAUCAAGUAUGCGUAGUUCGGGCAGAUUGGAUACAUGCGAGAAUUAAAAAAUAACUAAUUUGAGAAAAUAUGUUUUUUUGUCUAAAAAAAAUGAUGAAACAUGUGAAUUCUUUUUGGAUUUUCUUUUCCCCUUUUUUGAUUUUUUUUUAUUUUCGGAAAAUGAUGAAAAAGUGCAAAAUCUUUUUUUAUUUUUUUGAAUUUUCAUGUUUUUUUUUUCUUAACAAAAAUGUGACAGAAAACAUAAUUGGGCUCUACUUGUUUUACUUUUACACUUCACACUCUUUUUUCUUUUUUCUUUUUUAUUCUUUUCCCUCAACUAUCAUUGGUCUGCCAAAUGACCCUUUUACUCUUGAAGAAAUGCAACAUGUAGCACAUAUGUUGCAUUAAGAUGAUCUGUUAUUUUGGGUACACCUGUCCUAGAUGGACCCAACCCCUGUGUUGAGUCCCCAAAGUCAAAUGCACGUGAUGCAAAUAAACGUUCCUACUAGGGAUCCGACAUAAGGCUGUGUUUUUCUAGGUUUAAAUCCUGGGGUUGUGUUCUAGACUUGGAUUACCCGAGCGGACAAUUGGGGCCGAAGAGGGGGCAACGUACCGGGAGCACUGAGUCUGCUCAGCCUUGUUGCUGGCCCAGCCUCGUUCUAUUUAGCAUAACUUCUACAGAAAAAGCGGGCCACGCGAAUGUGUACACCAUUUCAGAAGACUUAGAGGGGUGGCGUAAACAGACAACAGUUAGCACAAAAGGUUCACAUAAUACAGUAAUAUUAACAAUAAAUGAAGCCAAGUAAAAAUCAUAUUAACAAGCUCGAAUUCUAGAACCUUGAACCAGAUGUUUUGGGUUCUGAUCCCCAGCAGAGUCGUCAGAGCUGUCACACCUCCUUUUUCCUACCCCCGAGAGGGAAAAAGGGAGUUUUUUUCAAUUUUAGUGACAAUCGAAACGGGAUUAUUUUUUUAAGAUCAGAGUCGCCACUUAGGAUAAUUUAGGGUGUCCCAAGUCACCAGUUUAAAAUCUCGAGUCGAGGAAAUUUGACACUAUUUACGGUCUGCGAAUACAGAAAUCUGUGUAAGGAAUACUGUUAACCCGGGAGAAAAUGUUAGGCAUUCCCGAGUUUUGUGGUUCUAGCACGGUUGCUUUAAUCAUACUUGGCUUAAUCAAAUUGUUUAAUUACUGAUGUUAGAACCUAUGUGCUUUUGCCUCUUUUAAUUAAAAAAUCAUCUUGAAACGGGUCACACGUACGUGUACCCAUUAGUUUGACGCAUCCAAAAUCAUGUCAUGCGAACGUGUCCACAAUUAAUAACGCUUUAUUAUUAUUAAGAAAAUUUUGGCCAAAGUUGCUGGAACGCAUACUCCGGUUUUGUAUUUAGAACCGUAAUCAUGUCAUGCGAACAUGUCCACAAUCACGAUGAUAUAUUAAACGUGUCUAGAGCAAAGCUAUGAAUGUUCAUGGUUAUUCUUAAAGCUAAUUUGAGCUUAUUGUAAGGUCACGAAUUAUAGAAAUUAUAAGAUAAUUAAACCAUUUAAGAUUCCCUUAGCUAGUCCAUUAGAUCAUUAAGAUGUUGGAGAAGUCCUGUUACUUACUAAAUUCAUUAAUACUGGACUUUGCAGAAAUCCUGACUUAAUGAGACUCAAAACCAUUGAAAAGGGCAGAACCAAUCCUUAUUGUUCAAAAAUAAAUUCCACAAGCUCAUUAAAGGUUCUAACAUGAACUACUGAUUUUGCCAACUUAAUCCUCUAACAAAUUAAUGCAUUUAUUCAAGAAUAGAGGCCAUAGACAUCAUCAAAAGAUAAACUAAUUAAAAUAACCAAGAGAGAUGCUACGAACUAAAGCAGUAGAACCAAACCCAUGAAUUUCAUAACCAUAUAACAUCAUUCGAACACAAAAUGGAAUAACUAUACUCAAGUAAAGUUAGACAAGAGGAUAAGUGAGGAACCUUUGAAUAAGCUUUCCAAGAUAUGGACAAAUGAGUCAAAUGUACAGCAACAAAUCGUUUGGAUCUCACGGACCACAUACGAAGACCUCGACGAACAACCUCGCCCCCGACAGUACCUCAAUCAAGAUUUCAAGACAAAUUGAAUGGAUAACAUCUGAAAUAAGCCAAGCGAAGCUUGAAACAAGAUUCAUGUUCCUCUCAUGCUCACAAAAGCUCAACUGGUUCGCUACUGCCCCUUUCUCAUUUUUGUGCACGUGUGUGACUGUGUGUGAUUAUGUUUUGGCGAGAGGGAGAUGAGUGUCAUGUUUUCGUGACAGAAUAAAAGGGAGGAUAUCAUCUACUACUGUGCGUGGCUAUUCAUGGGUGUCUCUUAUGAAAAUGGAGGAUGGUUUGUUCCUUGAAGAGAAGGGGCUGUUAUGGUAGUUAUGGAGGGGUCAUGACUGAGGCUGGUUGUUUGUGCCCUGGUUGCAGAAGGUUAGGGUGGGGAUGGGGUUGUUUUGGUCAUAAAUGGCACUGAUGGUUGUGUGUUCUUGGUUAGGAUGAAGCCAUGGCAGAUCUCUCAUUUUUUUUGCUGAAGGAGAUGAAGAACGGG
This 2876-nucleotide long non-coding RNA is filed under the name Nicotiana tabacum (common tobacco). RNAcentral's name for it is "long non-coding RNA (NTAB_LNC015789)". The record is from RNAcentral. Lineage: Eukaryota; Viridiplantae; Streptophyta; Magnoliopsida; Solanales; Solanaceae.